GUAAACACGAUGAAAAGGACAAGUAGGUAAAGAAUUUGUUAAAGAGAGGAAAACAAAUGCUGUGAGUUUUCUAACAAUGCAUUUAUUGAAUUCACCUUGGAGUGCGACUAAUCAUCGCCGUAUUCACAACGUUACUGUGAUCAAAGUGCAUAACAGAUGAAUGUUAUGAAUUAGGAUGGUACCGCGAUUAUAAUCGUUCCUAUA
This 204-nucleotide non-coding RNA is filed under the name Candidatus Stoquefichus. RNAcentral's name for it is "T-box sequence". It matches the Rfam family "T-box leader". Rfam says of the family: Uncharged tRNA acts as the effector for transcription antitermination of genes in the T-box leader family. T-boxes are found upstream of many aminoacyl-tRNA synthetase genes and some amino acid biosynthetic genes usually in Gram-positive bacteria. The record is from RNAcentral. Lineage: Bacteria; Bacillati; Bacillota; Erysipelotrichia; Erysipelotrichales; Erysipelotrichaceae.